GACGAACGCUGGCGGCGUGCCUAAUACAUGCAAGUAGAACGCACAGUUUAUACCGUAGCUUGCUACACCAUAGACUGUGAGUUGCGAACGGGUGAGUAACGCGUAGGUAACCUGCCUAGUAGCGGGGGAUAACUAUUGGAAACGAUAGCUAAUACCGCAUAAUAUUAAUUAUUGCAUGAUAAUUGAUUGAAAGAUGCAACUGCAUCACUACCAGAUGGACCUGCGUUGUAUUAGCUAGUAGGUGAGGUAACGGCUCACCUAGGCGACGAUACAUAGCCGACCUGAGAGGGUGAUCGGCCACACUGGGACUGAGACACGGCCCAGACUCCUACGGGAGGCAGCAGUAGGGAAUCUUCGGCAAUGGACGAAAGUCUGACCGAGCAACGCCGCGUGAGUGAAGAAAGGGUUUUCGGAUCGUAAAAGCUUCUGUUGUAAAGAGAAAGAAACGGGUG
RNAcentral lists this ribosomal RNA (452 nucleotides) under Streptococcus gordonii. RNAcentral describes it as "bacterial SSU rRNA". It matches the Rfam family "Bacterial small subunit ribosomal RNA", at positions 28 to 459 of the family's 1533-position model. The record is from RNAcentral. Lineage: Bacteria; Bacillati; Bacillota; Bacilli; Lactobacillales; Streptococcaceae.